AGUAUAAAACCUACUUGGAUACACACAAACAGUAUGCAAACAAGUAUAUUAUAGGGAGCGUGCAUGAACUGUAGGAGGCAGCACAGGAGCCGUCAGAUUUUUGGCGCGAGGCGUAAAUGUGAUGUUUAUUGUUCCGAUGUCCCACAAGAUGGCAGAACCUACUAUGCACAAGAAAACACGUGACGUGUAAAAAUACAUGUUUAUGGUUCCGAUUCAGGCCACAAGAUGGCAGACCCUCUAACGCGCACGGUCCCUUUACGCUAUAGAGCCAAUAUAUAGCCAAUGUCACUGUGUUAUGUCAACAACGUCAUGAAUGUACCAUGUAAACAUAAAACAAAUUAAAUAAAUAACAAUGGUCCAACCAUGAAUAAAAACCAAUAUUGAUCAUAAUGUGCUGUGCAAAAACCACGAAACCUAGUCGUAAAAAUACAAAUAAGAAAAACAUUAAGUUAAGCAGCGCAAACACGCGAACUGUGGGUGCAACUACCGAUCCCGCACCAUGCCCCACAGUCCUCAAAUCCGCUAAAUCCCGUUCUCAAGCCGUUAAUGCUUCUGAGGAGUGUGCAUGUGCAGUAUACAUCAAAGUGUGCCCCGCAUUGGUGUAUGUGGGAGCGCUGGUUCUAAUGGCCAUGAUAUGCAGCUAUUUGUACCAAAAAUUAUCUGAGAGGGAGCCAAGAUGUACGAGGCGAAUAAGAAGGCGUUGAAGAUACUGUUCUAGUUUUGGGAAAGAAGUUCAAACCUGUCAAAAUGCACGCCUCCUCGUCUUCGUAGGACACCGAUGUGUCUUGACUUGAUCGGGAAUUCGGAAUACUAAUAGUGCUUGGGUCGAUAUUACAGGCUCUGCAAAAGGUCUUCAAGAACAAUCAUAACCAGCUUAAUUCACCUUCGAGAGUCAGUAAAUUCUUCCAAAAAAAUAGACAAAUGUCACAACUA
This is a long non-coding RNA of Cydia pomonella (codling moth), 933 nucleotides long. RefSeq lists it as uncharacterized. Lineage: Eukaryota; Metazoa; Arthropoda; Insecta; Lepidoptera; Tortricidae. The record is from RefSeq and is a predicted model, not a curated record. The transcript has 4 exons.